UCUGCUGCGUACCGUCCCGAACCCCAGGAGCCGAGAUCCCACCCGCAGGACCCCAAAACCCAAUGAUCCUGCAGCAGCCCUUGGAGCGAGGCCCCCAGGGAGGGGCCCAGCGCCUCCCACGGGCCGCCUUGGGGGUGACUCGGGGCCUGGACGCCAGCUCCCCUCUCCGAGGAGCUGUGCCCAUGAGCACCAAGCGGCGCCUGGAGGAGGAGCAGUGAGUUUGGGGGCAGGGAGGGACUCCCAACAAGAUCUCUGUCACCUCUGGUUCCCAACAGGCUGCCUCCUGUCUCAAUAUCCCAGCCUGCCUCUCUCCCAUCUCUCCCCAGGGAGCCUCUGCGCAAGCAGUUUCUGUCUGAGGAGAACAUGGCCACCCACUUCUCUCAACUCAGCCUGCACAAUGACCACCCCUACUGCAGCCCCCCCAUGACCUUCUCCCCAGCCCUGCCCCCGCUCAGGAGCCCUUGCUCUGAGCUGCUUCUCUGGCGCUAUCCUGGCAGCCUCAUCCCUGAGGCCCUCCGUCUGCUGAGGCUGGGGGACACCCCCAGUCCCCCUUACCCUGCAACCCCAGCUGGGGACAUAAUGGAGCUCUGAGUGCUGGUGGACAGUGCCCCUCCCACCUUCCUUCUUCCCCACAACAGAAGAGACCAGCGACUCCCGCAAAGGGACAAGGUUCCUCCCUUUCCUGCAGACCAGGCAUCUGGGCACCAAGACCUUCCCUCAACAGAGGACACUGAGCCCAACGGAGUUCUGGGAUGGGAGAGGUGGGAGCAUGGGAAGGGAGGCAUCCCACCCCCAAGAAGAACUGAAUAAAGAUCACUGAGCAAAGGA
RNAcentral lists this small RNA (828 nucleotides) under Pongo abelii (Sumatran orangutan). RNAcentral's name for it is "retained intron". The record is from RNAcentral. Lineage: Eukaryota; Metazoa; Chordata; Mammalia; Primates; Hominidae.